Molecule: ribosomal RNA, 253 nt
Filed under: uncultured bacterium
Lineage: Bacteria
Description: partial 16S ribosomal RNA
Rfam family: Bacterial small subunit ribosomal RNA
Source: RNAcentral
UACGUAGGGUGCGAGCGUUGUCCGGAAUUACUGGGCGUAAAGAGCUCGUAGGUGGUUUGUCGCGUUGUCCGUGAAAACUCACAGCUUAACUGUGGGCGUGCGGGCGAUACGGGCAGACUGGAGUACUGCAGGGGAGACUGGAAUUCCUGGUGUAGCGGUGGAAUGCGCAGAUAUCAGGAGGAACACCGGUGGCGAAGGCGGGUCUCUGGGCAGUAACUGACGCUGAGGCACGAAGGCCAGGGGAGCAAACGGG